GGAAAACAUCUGCUAGAAUACUGCUUGAAAACAUACUGAAGGUGUGACGAGAACCUGGAAGUGCCCAAAAAGACGAGUAGUCAUGGCAGCUGGGACACCAUAAUCAUGAGAAACCAAAUCAUCUUCUGCAGAUGGAUAAGUAAUUGGAAGCUGGAAAAUGUAAUACAAAUAAACAGUAUUAUAUU
Non-coding RNA from Chelonoidis abingdonii (Abingdon island giant tortoise), 185 nucleotides. The record is from RefSeq and is a predicted model, not a curated record. Lineage: Eukaryota; Metazoa; Chordata; Testudines; Testudinidae.